Molecule: ribosomal RNA, 375 nt
Filed under: uncultured organism
Description: partial 16S ribosomal RNA
Rfam family: Bacterial small subunit ribosomal RNA
Source: RNAcentral
GUAGGUGGCAAGCGUUGUCCGGAAUUAUUGGGCGUAAAGCGCGCGCAGGCGGUUCUUUAAGUCUGAUGUGAAAGCCCACGGCUCAACCGUGGAGGGUCAUUGGAAACUGGGAGAACUUGAGUACAGAAGAGGAAAGCGGAAUUCCACGUGUAGCGGUGAAAUGCGUAGAGAUGUGGAGGAACACCAGUGGCGAAGGCGGCUUUCUGGUCUGUAACUGACGCUGAGGCGCGAAAGCGUGGGGAGCAAACAGGAUUAGAUACCCUGGUAGUCCACGCCGUAAACGAUGAGUGCUAAGUGUUAGGGGGUUUCCGCCCCCCUUAGUGCUGCAGCUAACGCAUUAAGCACUCCGGCCUGGGAGUACGGCCGCAAGGCUGA